GCCCUCCUGGCGAAACUGGUAGCCGCAUUCGCCCUAAAAGCGAACGGCCCUUGCGGUCAUGUCGGUUCGACUCCGACGGAGGGCA
This 85-nucleotide transfer RNA is filed under the name Terriglobia bacterium. RNAcentral describes it as "tRNA-Leu". Lineage: Bacteria; Pseudomonadati; Acidobacteriota; Terriglobia. The record is from RNAcentral.